This 699-nucleotide long non-coding RNA is filed under the name Elaeis guineensis (African oil palm). RNAcentral's name for it is "long non-coding RNA (EGUI_LNC008460)". Lineage: Eukaryota; Viridiplantae; Streptophyta; Magnoliopsida; Arecales; Arecaceae. The record is from RNAcentral.
UCUUGUCUGAUUCUACAUGUCAUAUAGUUUAUCCACUUAUACUCUGAUAUCAUAUUAAUUGUCACACUUCCGAUCCGAGAUCAUGAACAGAGGGUCAUGCCAACUAUCGCAUAGCCGCAUACUUAUGAAGAACUCUCUCCAUAAGCAUGCAAGGUAUCUCAUCACGAUAUCAAUGCAUCAUAGCGGAAUAAAAUUUAAAUAAUUAUUAUUUAAUUUUAAAUAAUUAAAUCAAAUAUCUUACAUCCAAUAAAGUUUCACUAAAAAUAAAAUAAUAGAUCUAAGUUCAAUAAAGUUGAUAAUGCUAAAUCUCGUCUUUAAAAGCUCUGUCCGAACAUUAUUAUCCACGGUCACAAUUAAUUAUCUGAAACUAAAAAAUAAAAAGAAAGAUAAUGAGCUAAAUAGCCCAGUAAGUAAUAAAUAUCUCAACUAGACAUAUCAGAUAUUAUAUAAUAUUCAAGAAUAAUGCGAUGAAUAAACAUAAAAAUAUAUUUCAUGCUAAUUCAAUGUAAAUCCAAUCUUUUCAAAUAUUUAUAUAUAAUAUAUUCAUAAAUCUGAUUCGAAUCAAAAUACUCAUAACUCAACAGCCUCGAGUAUGACCAAUAUUUAACCCCCAUUGGUGGAAUCUACUGCAUAUCAGCAUACAAUCUCCACUGGUAGGAUCCACUGAAUACCAGCGUACAACUCCCAUUGGCAGGGUCC